GUGCUUGCUUCAUCAGCACAUAUACUAAAAUUAGAAUGAUAAAGAAAAGAUUAGCAUGACUCCUGUGCAAGGAUGACAUGGAGAUUUGUGAGGCGUUCCAUAUUUUA
Molecule: small nuclear RNA, 107 nt
Organism: Suncus etruscus (white-toothed pygmy shrew)
Lineage: Eukaryota; Metazoa; Chordata; Mammalia; Eulipotyphla; Soricidae
Source: RefSeq, a predicted model, not a curated record